CUACGGGCCGCUCCAGUGGGGAAUUUUGCGCAAUGGGGGCAACCCUGACGCAGCAAUACCGCGUGAGUGAAGAAGGCCUUUGGGUCGUAAAGCUCUUUUCUAAGGGAAGAUAGUGACGGUACCUUAGGAAUAAGCACCGGCUAACUCCGUGCCAGCAGCCGCGGUAAUACGGAGGGUGCGAGCGUUGUUCGGAUUUACUGGGCGUAAAGGGCACGUAGGCGGCCUAGCAAGUUAAGGGUGAAAUCCCGGGGCUCAACUCCGGAACUGCUCUUAAAACUGCUAAGCUAGAGAUAGUCAGAGGCGGGUGGAAUUCCAGGUGUAGAGGUGAAAUUCGUAGAUAUCUGGAGGAACACCGGUGGCGAAGGCGGCCCGCUGGGGCUAUUCUGACGCUGAGGUGCGAAAGCGUGGGGAGCGAACGGGAUUAGAUACCCUAGUAGUC
RNAcentral lists this ribosomal RNA (439 nucleotides) under uncultured bacterium. RNAcentral describes it as "partial 16S ribosomal RNA". It matches the Rfam family "Bacterial small subunit ribosomal RNA", at positions 339 to 795 of the family's 1533-position model. The record is from RNAcentral.